AGCCUUUUUUUGUUCAUAAGCAUGAUGAUUAAGUAUUCACAUCAUUGUGGGACACAUACCCCCCUCUAGCCUUCAAGUAGGGUACUUUACCCACUUGACA
Molecule: small nucleolar RNA, 100 nt
Organism: Psammomys obesus (fat sand rat)
Lineage: Eukaryota; Metazoa; Chordata; Mammalia; Rodentia; Muridae
Product: small nucleolar RNA U13
Exons: 1
Source: RefSeq, a predicted model, not a curated record